CCAAACUUGGUCAUUUAGAGGAAGUAAAAGUCGUAACAAGGUUUCCGUAGGUGAACCUGCGGAAGGAUCAUUAACACGUAUCCACGUAUCAACCCCUCUGUGCAACCUAGUUUUGUUGAGGCCGGUCUAGUGUGCUCGCUCGCCAUGGGAUCUUAAUGAUGGGAGGGUGGUUCCUUCGGGGGCCUUCCUCAGGAUCUCGAGCAAGCAUGCGUUUUGACGAUCAGCCGCUAUUUUUCCAUCGUUAGCCCUUUAUUCUUUUAAAACCCCUUUGUACUUCUCUUGUACUGAACCAAUUCUUCGAGUUUUUGCCUUAGGGCGAAGCACGAAAGAUAUUACGAAACUAAAGAACAACUCUUAGCAACGGAUAUCUUGGUUCCCGCAUCGAUGAAGAACGCAGC
RNAcentral lists this unclassified non-coding RNA (398 nucleotides) under uncultured fungus. RNAcentral describes it as "partial contains small subunit ribosomal RNA, internal transcribed spacer 1, and 5.8S ribosomal RNA". The stretch from base 1 to 73 matches the Rfam family "Eukaryotic small subunit ribosomal RNA", at positions 1759 to 1831 of the family's 1831-position model. The record is from RNAcentral. Lineage: Eukaryota; Fungi.